RNAcentral lists this transfer RNA (457 nucleotides) under Drouetiella lurida str. Lukesova 1986/6. RNAcentral's name for it is "Drouetiella lurida Lukesova 1986/6 partial 16S-23S ribosomal RNA intergenic spacer". The stretch from base 237 to 309 matches the Rfam family "tRNA". The record is from RNAcentral. Lineage: Bacteria; Bacillati; Cyanobacteriota; Cyanophyceae; Oculatellales; Oculatellaceae.
UUUAGGGAGACCUACCUACUCGAUAUCUGAAAGCAUAGUGCGAUUAGGACAAGAGUUGGUCAUCCCAAGGUCGUUCAAGUUAUGAGUGCUGUCUUCUAAGCUAUUAUGGUUCGGUUCGUGGGCUAUUAGCUCAGGUGGUUAGAGCGCACCCCUGAUAAGGGUGAGGUCCCUGGUUCGAGUCCAGGAUGGCCCACCUUUGUAUCUAUCAGCUUUCAUUUUGAUGAGAGAGAUAUUGAGGGGGUUUAGCUCAGUUGGUAGAGCGCCUGCUUUGCAAGCAGGAUGUCAACGGUUCGAGUCCGUUAACCUCCACUGUCCAUUUUCUUUAUUUUUUAGUGAAGAAGAGACAAGAGUCAUAGCAACUCAUCUUGAGCAUCAAGAGAGCCUGCUGUGACGUAGAGUCCAGCCAGAACCUUGAAAACUGCAUAGUAAUUUGUCAGGUAGGAAUCGAUUGAUUAAG